Molecule: transfer RNA, 84 nt
Filed under: Myxococcales bacterium
Lineage: Bacteria; Pseudomonadati; Myxococcota; Myxococcia; Myxococcales
Description: tRNA-Leu
Rfam family: tRNA
About the family: Transfer RNA (tRNA) molecules are approximately 80 nucleotides in length. Their secondary structure includes four short double-helical elements and three loops (D, anti-codon, and T loops). Further hydrogen bonds mediate the characteristic L-shaped molecular structure. tRNAs have two regions of fundamental functional importance: the anti-codon, which is responsible for specific mRNA codon recognition, and the 3' end, to which the tRNAs corresponding amino acid is attached (by aminoacyl-tRNA synthetases). tRNAs cope with the degeneracy of the genetic code in two manners: having more than one tRNA (with a specific anti-codon) for a particular amino acid; and 'wobble' base-pairing, i.e. permitting non-standard base-pairing at the 3rd anti-codon position.
Source: RNAcentral
GCGAGGAUGGCGGAAUUGGUAGACGCACUAGCUUGAGGGGCUAGCGCCCGCAAGGGUGUGGGGGUUCGAAUCCCCCUCCUCGCA